This 350-nucleotide ribosomal RNA is filed under the name uncultured bacterium. RNAcentral describes it as "partial 16S ribosomal RNA". It matches the Rfam family "Bacterial small subunit ribosomal RNA", at positions 338 to 699 of the family's 1533-position model. The record is from RNAcentral.
CCUACGGGAGGCAGCAGUCGAGAAUCAUUCACAAUGGGGGAAACCCUGAUCGUGCGACGCCGCGUGGGGGAAUGCAGGUCUUCGGAUUGUAAACCCCUGUCAUGUGAGAGCAAAUUAAAAAGAUAGUACCACAAGAGGAAGAGACGGCUAACUCUGUGCGAGCAGCCGCGGUAAUACAGAGGUCUCAAGCGUUGUUCGGAAUCACUGGGCGUAAAGCGUGCGUAGGCUGUUGUGUAAGUCGUGUGUGAAAAGUGCGGGCUCAACCCGCGGACGGCACAUGAUACUGGGAGACUAGAGUAAUGGAGGGGGAAGCGGAAUGCUCGGUGUAGCAGUGAAAUGCGUAGAUAUCG